Molecule: ribosomal RNA, 1016 nt
Filed under: marine metagenome
Description: bacterial SSU rRNA
Rfam family: Bacterial small subunit ribosomal RNA
Source: RNAcentral
CCUACGGGAGGCAGCAGCAGGGAAUCUUGCACAAUGGGCGAAAGCCUGAUGCAGCGACGCCGCGUGAGGGAUGAAGGUUCUAGGAUCGUAAACCUCUUUUCUUAGGGAAUAGUUUGGAAGGUACCUAAGGAAUAAGUCACGGCUAACUACGUGCCAGCAGCCGCGGUAAUACGUAGGUGGCAAAUGUUGUCCGGAAUCAUUGGGCGUAAAGGGUCCGUAGGUGGCUUGAAAAGUCUUAUGUGAAAUCUCUUGGCUCAACCAAGAAACGCCAUAAGAAACUUUCAUGCUAGAGAUCAUCAGAGGGAGGUAGAAUUCCAGGUGUAGUGGUGAAAUGCGUAGAUAUCUGGAGGAAUACCAAUGGCGAAAGCAGCCUCCUGGGGUGAAUCUGACAUUGAGGGACGAAAGCGUGGGUAGCAAACCGGAUUAGAUACCCGGGUAGUCCAUGCCGUAAACGAUGAAUACUGGGUCUUCGGGGAAUCGACCCCCUGUGGACCGAAGCUAACGCGUUAAGUAUUCCGCCUGGGGAGUACGGUCGCAAGACUAAAACUCAAAGGAAUUGACGGGGGCCCGCACAAGCAGCGGAGCGUGUGGUUUAAUUCGAUGGUAAACGAAGAACCUUACCUAGGUUUGACAUAUAAGUAGUACUGACCCGAAAGGUGAUGGACCCGCAAGGGAGCUUAUACAGGUGCUGCAUGGUUGUCGUCAGCUCGUGCCGUGAGGUGUUGGGUUAAGUCCCGCAACGAGCGCAACCCUCGUGGAUAGUUGUUUUCUUUAUCCAGACUGCUUUUACAAGAGGAAGGUGGGGAUGACGUCAAAUCAUCAUGGCUCUUACACCUAGGGCUACACACACGCUACAAUGGACAGUACAGACGGUUGCUAAGUCGCAAGAUGGAGCCAAUCCGAUAAAGCUGUCCCCAAUUGGGAUUGUAGGCUGAAACUCGCCUGCAUGAACCUGGAGUUGCUAGUAACCGCAGAUCAGAAUGCUGCGGUGAAUACGUUCCCGGGCCUUGUACACA